Molecule: long non-coding RNA, 227 nt
Organism: Cloeon dipterum
Lineage: Eukaryota; Metazoa; Arthropoda; Insecta; Ephemeroptera; Baetidae
Exons: 3
Source: RefSeq, a predicted model, not a curated record
GCAAAACAUGAGUGUAUAAAAGUGACACGCAACAUCGGAUCACAUGCAGAAAAACACUCAGAGAGAGGAGCUGCUACAUCGACUACGCAGACUAAGAGCAUGAAAGUUUUCAGAGCAGGAGCCGUCAUCGCUCCGUUGGUGUUGCUUCUGUUGACUUCCAAUGUGCAAUCCAGGGCCACUAAUGGGCUGAUUGUUCGCGGUGGAGGUGGCGGCGGAGGCGGUGGAGG